CAAAUAUAGCUAAACUUGUAAAAUGAGCGAAAUGUACCAAAAUCUACAAAUAUGAAAUGAAAUUGCACCAAAAUGUUAUGAAAUUCCCCAAAAUGCGUCAAGAUAGGCUGAACAUAGCCAAACCCUCUGAAAUGUAUAAAAAUGAGCAACAAUGGCCCCCAAAUGUACCAAAAUGCGCGAUAUUGACAGCGAAUAAAGGCCCAAAGUGUUCCAAAACACAGGAAUCUAAUCAUAGCGCUUUGAGAAGUUUCCAAAUCUGUGAAUACUUGAAUCGUACCUGAACAUAACGAAAGAUGAGAGCUGUAUCGAAAAUGUCAAAUACACACCAUAUUACAUGAAAAUACACAACGAACACAUCAAAAUACAUUGAAAUUCGAAAAGCUCAAAAAAGGGUAAAAAGUACGAAAAAUCCGUUAAGGGGAUCCCAAACAUACCGAAACGUGCGAAAUUAAAAAAAUAGGUAUAGAGACGUGCUUAAACUCUUUGAAAAUUAUCAAAAUGCACGAGUUUUAUCAAAAUAUGAAUACCAAAGCAUUUCAAAUUUCCCAAAAUACGCGUAUAUACCUAACCUUGCAAAAUGAUUGAAAUUCUCAGAAGUCCAAAAAUAUGACACCAAAUUGCACAGAUAUGUUAGAAUACUCACCAAAAUGUGUCAAUAUAGGCUAAGCAUAUCCAAAUACUAAGAAAUGUAUAAAAUUGAGUCAGAAUGCCCCAAAAUGUUCAAAAUGCGCAAUAUUGACAACAAAAAAUGGCCCAAAGUGUUCCAAAGUACGCGAAUUGAAUCAUAGCAUUCCAAGAUAUUUCCAAAUGUGUAAAUACUCGAAUUGUACCUGAACAUAAUGAAUUACGACAACUGUGAAAAAAAAUUCAACCACGUACCAAAAUGCGUUAAGUACCAAAGACACCGAAAAUGGGCAAAUUGAAAAACAGGUUUUGAGAAGUGCUUAAAAUGAGGAAAAUUGUCAAAAUUCAAGAGUUUUACAAAAAUGCAAAAAAAUAAAAAGUAACAAAGUGUUUCAUAAUUUCCCAGAAUAUGCAAACAUACCUGAACUUGCAAAAUGAGCGGAAUACCCCAAAAUCCACAAAUUUGAAACAAAAUUACACCAAAAUGUUACGAAACCAACCAAAAUUGUCAUGAUAGGCUAAACAUAGCCAAACUCUCUGAAAUGUGUAUAAAUGAGCCAGAGUCCCUUGAAAUGCUCCAAAAUUUGUAAUUGACACCCAAUGACGGUCCAAAGUGUUCCAAAACACGUGAAUCAAAUCGUAGUGCUCUAAGAAGUUUCCAAUCAUUUAAAUACUUGAAUUAUACUAAGACGUAAAGAAAAUAUGCAAAGAACACAUCGAAAUACAUUUAAAAUCGCAAUGCUCAAAAAAGGGCAAAAGUGUGAAAAAGAGUUAAGGCGAUCCCAAGCACACCAAAAAUGUUCGAAUUGAAAAAUAUGUAUCGAAUGGUGUUUAAACGCUCUGAAAAGUAUCAAAUUGCACGAGUUUUAUGAAAAUGUGAAAAUUUUUACAAAAGCAUCUCACAAUGUCCCAAAAUAUGCAAAUAUACUUAAACUGCAAAAUGAGCAAAAUGCACCGAAGUUUACAAAUAGGAAACGAAAUUGCACCAAAAUGUUACGAAACUUGCCAAAAUGUGUUGAGAGAGGCGAAACAUGGUGAAACCCUUCGAAAUUUAUAAAAUUGAGUUAGAAAGCCCCUGAAAUGUUCCAAAAUGCACAAUAUUAAUGCUGGAGAUACCCCAAAGUUUUCCAAAACAUGUGAAUCGAAUUGUAGUGCUUCGGAAUAUUUCCAAAUGUGUGAAUACUUGAAUCGUAUCUAAACAUUAUGCAAUAUGAGAUUUCUAUCAAAACAAUCAAACAGGUUGGUAGGCAACAUGAAAAUAUACGAAAAAUACAUCAAAAUAAAUUGAAGUUCAUAAAGCUUAAAAAAAUGUAAAAACCACGAAAAUGCAUUAAUGAUAUCCCAUACAUACCGAAAUGUGCAAAAUGAAUACAUAAGUGUCGAGACAAAGGCUUAAAUGCUCUAAAAAUUAUCAAAGUGCACGAGUUACACCAAAAUAUUAAAAAAUUUAUCAAAGCGGGUCGAAUAUCCUAGAAUACGGCACAUAUACCAAAACUUGAAAAUGAGCAAAAUAUACCAAAAUCCACAAAUAUGAAUUCAAAUUGCUCGAAAAUGAAACUCGCGAAAAUGUAUGACGAUAGGCUAAUCGUAGCUAAACCCUCUGAAAUGUAUGGAGUUGAGCUAGAAUGCCACCAACAUAUUCCAAAAUGUGCAAUAUUGACACCAAAGGAUGGUCCAAUGUGUUCCAAACACGCAAAUCGAAUCGUAGUGCUCCAAGAUAUUUCCAAAUGGGUAAAUCCUUGAAUCAUACCUGAACAUUAGAAUUAUGAGAAUUGUAUGAAAACAAUGAAACACGUACCAUAUAACACAAAAAACACAAAGAACACAUUGAAAUACACUAAAAUUCGCGAUAUUCAAUCAAAGGAAGCACAAAAUGGGUUAAGGGGAUCCCAGAUACUCCGAAAUGUGCAAAUUGAAAAAUUGUUAUCGAGACCUACUUAAACACUCCGAAAAGUAUCAAAAUACACCAAUUUUACCAAAAUGAGAAAAAAUUUAUCAAAGCAUUUCACAAUGUCCCAGAAUAAUAGAAUAUGCAAUUGCACCUAAACUUGCAAAACGAGGGAAAUUCACAAAAAUCUACAAACAUCAAACCAAAUUGAACCAAAAUGUUACGAAACUUGCCGAAAUGUGUCGAGAUGGGCGAAAUAUUUCUCAAUGUGUUAAGACUGGAAUCGUAUCUGAACGUUAUGAAAUACAAGAUUUUGUAUCAAAACAAUCGAGCAAGUACCGUAUUACAGGAAAAUACACAAAGAACACAUUAAAGUACAUUGAAAUUCUCAAACCUCAAAAAAAUGGAAAAGUUACGAAAAUACAUCAAAGAGAUGCCAAACACCCAAAUAUGAAUCCAAAUUGCCCCCAAAACAAAACUCGUAAAAAAGUAUCAAGAUAGGCUAAUCAUAGUUAGACCCACCGAAAUGUGUAAAAUUGAGCCAAAAUUCCUCGAAAAUGUUCCAAAAUACGCAAUAAUGACACCGAAGGAUAGCCUAAAGUGAUCCAAAUUGAAUCGUAGCACUUCAAGAUACUUUCAAAAGUGUGAAUACUCAAAUCGUACGUGAACAUAACAAAUUAUGAGAAUCGUAUCAGAAUUAUCAACCACGUACCACAUUACACGAAAAUACACUAAGAACACAUCAAAAUACAUUGAAAUUCAUAGAGCUCAAGAGGGCAAAAAGUGCAAAAACGAAUUAAGGGGGAUCCCAAACACAUCGAAAUGUGUAAAAUUGACAAAUAGGCAUUGACAUGUGCAUAAAUGCUUUAAAACGUAUCAAAAUGCAUGAGUUUACCAAAAUGUGAAGAAAUUUAUCGAAACGUUUCAUAAUGCCCCAUAAUACGCAAAUAUACCUAAACUUGUAAAAUCAGGAAAAUGCACCAAAAUCCACAAAUAUAAGACCAAAUUGCACUGAAAUGUUAUGGAUAAUCGCCAAAACGUGUCAGUAUAGGUAAAACAUGGCCAAACACAAUGUAGAAAAUUGAGCCAGAAUGUAGCCAGAAUAUUCCAAAAUAUGCAAUAUGUCACCAAAAAAUGGGCCAAAGUGUUCUAAAACACGCGAAUCGAAUCAUAGCACUACGAGAUAUUUCCAAAUGUGUAAAUGCUCAAAUCAUACCAGAAUAUAAUGAAUUACAAGAAUUGUAUCAAGACAAUGAAACACGGGCCAUAUUACAUGAAAAUGCACAAAAAACAAGUCGAAAUACAUUGAAAUUGCGAAGCUCAAAAAGGUCAAAAAGGUGCUAUGCGUUAAGAGGAUCCCAAACACACCGAAAUGUGCGAAAAGUUCUGAAAUGCUCUAAAAAGUAUCAAAAUGCAUGAGUUCACUAAAAAUGAGAAAAAUAUUAUCAAAGCAUUUCACUAUGUCACAGAAUACGCAAUUAUACCUAAACUUACAAAAUGACCGAACUGCACCAAACUCCACAUACAUCAAACGAAUUGUACCAACCCUCUGAAAUAUAUAAAAUUGAGCCCAAAAUGCCCCGGAAUGUUAAAAAAUGCUAAAUAUUGACGCUAAAGGAUGGCCCAAAGUGUUCCGAAGCAUGUGAAUCGAAUUUUAUCUCUCUGAAAUAUUUUCAAAUGUGUGAAUACUGGAUCAUAUCUGAAUCUAAAUACAAGAUUUGUAUCAAAACAAUCUAAAGACUAUAGCUCUCCUAGAUAUUACCGAAAUGUACGAAAUGGAUAAAUAUGUAUCGAGACCUGCAUAUAUGCUCUAAAGAUAAUCAAAGUGCCAUGAGUUAUAUCGAAAUGUUCAAAAAUUUAACAAAGCGACUCAAAUAUCCCAGAAUAUGCCACAUCUACCUAAACUUGCAAAAUGAGUGAUAUAUGCCAAAACCCACAAAUAUGAAACAAAGUUGCACCACAACAAAACUCGCAAAAAUGUAUUAAGAUAGGCUAAUCAUAGCUAAAACCGCCUAAAUGUAUAAAGUUGAGUUAGGAUGCCCCAAAUUGAAUCGUAGAUCUCCGAGAUAUUUCCAGAUGUGUAUUUCCAAAUAUGAAACCGAAUUCCAAAAAAACGUGAUGAGACUCACCAAAAUGUAUCAAGAUAGGUAAAACACAGCUAAAUCCAUCGAAAUAUAUAAAAUUGAGCAUAAAUGCCAUUAAAAUGAUCCAAAAUAUGCUAUGUUGAUAUUGAAGAAUGGCCCAAAGUGUCCCAAAAUACGACAAACGAAUCUUAGUGUUCCAAGCUAUUUCCAAAUGUUUUAAUUGCCGAAUCGUACCUGAAUUUUGCAAAUCUCAAAAGAAGGCCAAAAAGCAAGAUAUUGCAUUAAGGGGGAUCUCAAAUACACCAAAAUGUGCAAAAUUGACAAAUAGGCAUGUCAAAAAAAUUCACUAGUUUUAUCAAAAUGCAAAAUGAAUCAAAGCAUGUCAAAAUAUCCCAAAAUAGGAGAAAUAUACCUGAACUUGCAAAAUGAGCAAAAAUCCACAAGCAUAAAAGCAAAUUGCACAAAAAUAUGGCGAAACUCGCCAAAAUGAAUCAAGUUAGGGUGAACAUAUCUAAGCACUACAAAAUGAGUAAAAUUAAGCAUAAAUGCUCCCUAAACGUCCCAAAAAUGGGAUAUAUUGACACCAAAAUGUGGCCUAAAGUAUCCCAAAACAUGUCAAAAAAUUUUUAGCGCUCCAAGAUGUUUCCAAAUUUGUGAAUACUCGAAUUGUACACGAACUUAAUGAAUUAAGAGAAUCGUGUCAAACCCAUCAACCACGUACGCCAUUACACGAAAAUACUCUUACACAUCAAAAUACUUUGAAAUUCACAAAGCUCGAAAGGCCGGAUCCCAAAAACAUCGAAAUGUGAUAAAUUGAAAUAUAGGCAUCAAGACGUGUUUAAAUACUUUGAAACGUAUCAAAAUGCAGGACUUUGCCAAACUGUGAAAAAAAUUACCAGAGCAUUUCAAAAUGUCCCAGAAUAUGCAAAUAUAACUUGCAAAAUGAGCGAAAUGCACAAAAAUCCACAAGUAUGGGGCAAAAUUGCACCGACAUGUUAGGAUACUCGCCAAAAUUUGUCAAUCCUACAAAAUGCAGUCAAGCACUCCGAAAAUGCCCCAAAAAUGUUACAAAAUGCGUAACAUUGACAUCGAAUGAUAGCCCAAAGAGUCCACAAAAAUGAAACCAAAUUCCACCAAAAUGUGAUGACACUCGCCAAAAUGUAUCAAGAUUGGUUAAACAUGGCUAAAUCCUUCAAAAUAUAUAAAAUUUAGCAUAAACGCCCCAGCAUGAUCCAAAAUAUGUGAUACUAACAUCGAAGGAUGGCCGAAAUCGUUCCAAAAUACGUCAAACUAAUCUCAGCGCUCCGAGUUAUUUCCAAAUGUGUGAAUAGUCGAAUAUAUCAAAACAUAACGAGUUAUGAAAAUUUUAUCAAAACAAUCAAGCACAUCCCAUAUUACACAAAAAAUACAAAGAACACAGGAAAACAUAUUGAUAAAUGCAAAGCUUUAAAAAUAACUAGAAAGAAAGAAAAUGCAUAAAGGGUUCCAAGCACACCGAAAUGAGCGAAAUUGACAAAAAGGUAUUGAGAUGUACUUAAAGGCUCGGAGAUGGUACCCCAAUUCACGAGUUUUACCAAAAUGCGAUAAAAUUUAUGAAACCAUGUCAAAAUAUCCCAGAAUACGUCAAGUAUACCUAAACACGCAAAACGAGUGAAACGCACCAAAAUCAACAAGUAUGCGACUAAAUUGCACCUAAUGCCACAGAAAUGUUCCAAAAUGUGCAAUAUUGACACCGAACAAUUGCCCAAAGAGUCAAUAAAUAUGAAAUCGAAUUCCACCAAAACGUGAUGAAACUCGCUGAAAUGUAUCAAGAUUGGUUAAACAUGGCUAAAUCCUUUGAAAUAUAUAAAAUUUAAACCCGGUUUGAGCCCCAUUAUCACUCAAUAAAAUUCAUUACAACAAAUUAUUUUUCAACUUUUUCAG
RNAcentral lists this long non-coding RNA (6519 nucleotides) under Olea europaea subsp. europaea. Lineage: Eukaryota; Viridiplantae; Streptophyta; Magnoliopsida; Lamiales; Oleaceae. The record is from RNAcentral.